This is a long non-coding RNA of Physeter macrocephalus (sperm whale), 321 nucleotides long. RefSeq lists it as uncharacterized. The record is from RefSeq and is a predicted model, not a curated record. NCBI's taxonomy places the organism in Eukaryota, Metazoa, Chordata, Mammalia, Artiodactyla, Physeteridae. The transcript is spliced from 3 exons.
GGGAAGUAAACGACUGCCUCUCCGGUACACAUGCCUCAAAGAAAGCCCUAUCAUCAUAUGAGCAGUAAUAGUUAAAGCAACUAACUUUCUCAACAACCCAUGAGGCCUUCUAUUCCCAGCCCAAGACACACUCAAAUCCUGCAACCCCUAGAAACCAUCUGACUAACCAGGGGACACGGGUUCGAGCCCUGGUCCGGGAGGAUCCCACAUGCCGCGGAGCAACUAAGCCCGUGAGCCCCAACUACUGAGCCUGCGCGUCUGGAGCCUGUGCUCCGCAACAAGAGAGGCCGCGACAGUGAGAGGCCCACGCACUGCGAUGAA